Molecule: small nucleolar RNA, 107 nt
Filed under: Nicotiana sylvestris (wood tobacco)
Lineage: Eukaryota; Viridiplantae; Streptophyta; Magnoliopsida; Solanales; Solanaceae
Description: Plant small nucleolar RNA R71
Rfam family: Plant small nucleolar RNA R71
About the family: R71 is a member of the C/D box family of snoRNAs containing the C (UGAUGA) and D (CUGA) box motifs. Multiple nearly identical copies of this snoRNA have been identified in Arabidopsis, and it is thought to function as a 2'-O-ribose methylation guide for 18S ribosomal RNA.
Source: Rfam by way of RNAcentral
AUGCCAUGGUGAGGACAUUUCACCAACAUACCCUUAAACCUCUCCCAAGUUUCUUGCAAAGUCUCAGUCGGUUUCUGCCUGAAUUGCAAUAUCUCAUCAAUAUGCCU